UCGAGCGAACAGACGAGGAGCUUGCUCCUCUGACGUUAGCGGCGGACGGGUGAGUAACACGUGGAUAACCUACCUAUAAGACUGGGAUAACUUCGGGAAACCGGAGCUAAUACCGGAUAAUAUAUUGAACCGCAUGGUUCAAUAGUGAAAGACGGUUUUGCUGUCACUUAUAGAUGGAUCCGCGCCGCAUUAGCUAGUUGGUAAGGUAACGGCUUACCAAGGCAACGAUGCGUAGCCGACCUGAGAGGGUGAUCGGCCACACUGGAACUGAGACACGGUCCAGACUCCUACGGGAGGCAGCAGUAGGGAAUCUUCCGCAAUGGGCGAAAGCCUGACGGAGCAACGCCGCGUGAGUGAUGAAGGUCUUCGGAUCGUAAAACUCUGUUAUUAGGGAAGAACAAAUGUGUAAGUAACUAUGCACGUCUUGACGGUACCUAAUCAGAAAGCCACGGCUAACUACGUGCCAGCAGCCGCGGUAAUACGUAGGUGGCAAGCGUUAUCCGGAAUUAUUGGGCGUAAAGCGCGCGUAGGCGGUUUUUUAAGUCUGAUGUGAAAGCCCACGGCUCAACCGUGGAGGGUCAUUGGAAACUGGAAAACUUGAGUGCAGAAGAGGAAAGUGGAAUUCCAUGUGUAGCGGUGAAAUGCGCAGAGAUAUGGAGGAACACCAGUGGCGAAGGCGACUUU
RNAcentral lists this ribosomal RNA (684 nucleotides) under uncultured Staphylococcus sp. RNAcentral describes it as "bacterial SSU rRNA". It matches the Rfam family "Bacterial small subunit ribosomal RNA", at positions 62 to 728 of the family's 1533-position model. The record is from RNAcentral. Lineage: Bacteria; Bacillati; Bacillota; Bacilli; Caryophanales; Staphylococcaceae.